UGAACGCUGGCGGUAGGCCUAACACAUGCACGUCGAACGGCAGCACAGUAAGAGCUUGCUCUUACGGGUGGCGAGUGGCGGACGGGUGAGGAAUACAUCGGAAUCUACUUUUUCGUGGGGGAUAACGUAGGGAAACUUACGCUAAUACCGCAUACGACCUACGGGUGAAAGCAGGGGAUCUUCGGACCUUGCGCGAUUGAAUGAGCCGAUGUCGGAUUAGCUAGUUGGCGGGGUAAAGGCCCACCAAGGCGACGAUCCGUAGCUGGUCUGAGAGGAUGAUCAGCCACACUGGAACUGAGACACGGUCCAGACUCCUACGGGAGGCAGCAGUGGGGAAUAUUGGACAAUGGGCGCAAGCCUGAUCCAGCCAUACCGCGUGGGUGAAGAAGGCCUUCGGGUUGUAAAGCCCUUUUGUUGGGAAAGAAAAGCAGCAGGUUAAUACCCCGCUGUUCUGACGGGACCCAAAGAAUAAGCACCGGCUAACUUCGU
This 489-nucleotide ribosomal RNA is filed under the name uncultured bacterium. RNAcentral describes it as "partial 16S ribosomal RNA". It matches the Rfam family "Bacterial small subunit ribosomal RNA", at positions 30 to 506 of the family's 1533-position model. The record is from RNAcentral.